UUUUGUGUGUCUAUAUAGAUUAUAUUAUAAAAUCA
This 35-nucleotide transfer RNA is filed under the name Arostrilepis janickii. RNAcentral describes it as "partial tRNA-Asn". Lineage: Eukaryota; Metazoa; Platyhelminthes; Cestoda; Cyclophyllidea; Hymenolepididae. The record is from RNAcentral.